UGAUACUUUUCUCAAGAGAUUUUAAAAUAGAACCAUCGAGUGCAACUAGCAAGUUUAAUGAAUUUAUCUACAUUCCUCCUAGGUCACAGACAACAUAACUGAGUGGAAUUCUUCAGAAAAUACAUGUGUGGGAUCAAAACAGAGUGCAGAAGGAGAUACGAGAAUCCAGCUGCUCAACAUUGGAGAUAUGUAAAAAAACUGUAUCUCCUCAAGGUUGGAUCAAGUUGAAGAACAGAGCUGUGGAAGCCAGAGGACUUGAGUUUGCUGUGUGAUUUUGGG
Molecule: long non-coding RNA, 279 nt
Organism: Ailuropoda melanoleuca (giant panda)
Lineage: Eukaryota; Metazoa; Chordata; Mammalia; Carnivora; Ursidae
Exons: 3
Source: RefSeq, a predicted model, not a curated record